AGCACUAGGUGGGUUUGCUCCCUCCCUAGAUCUUCCAUCCAGGAUAGUCCUGGAAAUGAUCUUGAUGCUAUCUGUUCCUCGUUACAGCAGACCUGCUCAACUUCAGCAGCUAGAAGGAGGAUUGUCUUUCACCAGCUGCAGGAGCCUGUUCCCACUACAAGCCUGGUGGAGUCUUCGGAGCAGAUGUGACUGUCCUACUUGUAUAGAGAAGAGAAACUGAGGCUCAGAAGAGAUGCCUGGCUGAGUUUAAUAGGACUGCAACAACAAUUUUGCCUUUCUACUUUCUGACCGUUUGCAAAGAAAUUUCCUAAACAUCACCACUGAGGCUCCUUCCAGCAAUGACUCUGGUCCAUCAUUGGGAUUGCUGAGCAGCUGUUUCAUAACAUGAACAAGGAUGUUUUAACCAUGUUUCUUGACCUGGCCAUUUGGAUCCCAAGGAUGUUUUGGUCCAAGAAUAAAUUCCAGAGCUUAGCUCACCGAAGAAGACAGGAAAACUUGUCAGAUGGGGAAGGAUGUGUCAAGAGCAUGCACACAGAUUUACUCUUCAGCUAGAAGCUCCAAUUCCUAGAUGAUCUGAAUCCAACUCAGAGUGCUUGCACCUGUUUCCUGCCACACAGCUAGAGCUGUGUCCCUCUAGGUUCUCUGAUUGGCUGAAGCUACUCUAAGCCAAGAGAUCAAAGAAGCUGAUAAUGUAGAAUGUAAGUUUGUCUCCUGGGCCACAAUGGAAAGCAGAGACUGUAGCUGGAGGAGUGAAUAGAGGAUAUGCAGCUCUGGUAAUUCUCAGUACAAUUCCCAGUGGUCCACUCUGCAGAAUGAACCAAGUUCCAUUUUGCCCAACUUCUGGCAGUCCACAUUUGGACUGUGAGCUCACCUACAGAUAAAUCGUACGUGGAUUGAUGCAGUAACUGGAUUUGUAGCUGCUAAAUCUUAUUUAAGUGAGGACCUGUCCAGUACAUGUGAAGACCACCCAUCCACUGAAAGUGAUAAGUGAAGCUGAAUCAAUACUAGACUGAAUCAAUACUGAGCUGAAUCAAUACUUUCCCAAUUUUGAGGAAAUCUUGGAAAAUCUCUGAGAAAUGUGGUAGUAAUUAUUUUGAAGAAUUGGAAAACUUUAUAGCUGAUUAUGCUAUGUGUGGAAGAUACAACAGGAUUAUAAGAGAGAGAAGACAAUAUCCUUGCUGUGUCCAGAAGGCUUUAGCCGGGGUGUCCUACUGAGAGAUGACAAACUUAAGGUUUUUCUCUUCCCAGACAUUACUGGACAACUAGCUAUGUAAUUAGGUCUUAUGCCGAAAAGACUGAAAGGAAAACAUCUCAGAUCUAGGAAUGUGAUCAAGAAAGAAGGCUGGUUAAAGAAUAACAUGGGGAAAAUGAAUGCAGUGAAAUGGUUCACGCACAAGUUCUAGGAAUUCAGAGUGCAACAGCAGAAAUGCGAUUUUUGUUAGAUAUUUCAGAAAGUGAUGUGAGUCCCUGAGGUCAUACUGCAGCGUUCAGGUUCUGUUUGGCCUCCUGCACGAAGCUUUCCUUGAUUGGAAAAGCUGCAUACUCUGAAGCACAUCGCAUGUGUCCUGUCUGUAGUUCAUUUCAUUUCCCCAGAUUUGUUAUCAUCCACCAUCACUCAUACAAGCCUACCUUCUUCAUGCCAACCUUUGUAAUCUUUCUACCUUGCUAACCUGGUCAUGUCAAGGACCAGCUAAUAAAUAGCAAAGUUGUACCUUGAGCCAAGGUAUCUUGACUCUUAGUCCAGUGCUCUUUAUAUACCUCUGAAGUCUUAUUUGAGCUUCAAAAUUAUGAGUCUGUGCUCUCAAGAUUUUUUUGAAAAUGUACUUAAUGUUGCCCCUAAGCUUUUAUGAGAAAUAAUAAAGUUCUUUCCAGAUUGAAUAUCUAAUAACUCCAUUUCAUUUUAUGCUUUCUCAUGUAUGGAUGUCUAUAACUGGAAUGCUAUUUGGGCUACUGAGAUAUUUUCUUAAUUCUCUGUUUUGUGUUAGUUCUUUUUGUUUGUUUAUUUGACAACCAUAUUUUUGCACCUGAGAUAAAUCUGGCAUUCUAUUCAACUUCAAUUUCAAAGAGAAUCUGAGAAUGUACUGGUAGAACGAUAUUUGAAUACUAAUAUCUUGGAAAUACAGAAAUAAGUAUCAUACAUUUUGUUACAUUCUGUUUGUGUACAAAUAAUAUAAAAAUCAAUGAAUGAGAAUUUCAUAUUUGAAUUGUAUAUGGAUUGAUGCAAUAACU
RNAcentral lists this long non-coding RNA (2229 nucleotides) under Homo sapiens (human). RNAcentral describes it as "novel transcript". The record is from RNAcentral. Lineage: Eukaryota; Metazoa; Chordata; Mammalia; Primates; Hominidae.